RNAcentral lists this ribosomal RNA (301 nucleotides) under uncultured bacterium. Its description in RNAcentral is "partial 16S ribosomal RNA". It matches the Rfam family "Bacterial small subunit ribosomal RNA", at positions 509 to 807 of the family's 1533-position model. The record is from RNAcentral.
CAGUAGCCGCGGUAAUACGAAGGGGGCUAGCGUUGCUCGGAAUUACUGGGCGUAAAGGGAGCGUAGGCGGAUCGUUUAGUUGGGGGUGAAAUCCCGGGGCUCAACCUCGGAACUGCCUUCAAUACUGGCGAUCUUGAGUAUGGGAGAGGUGAGUGGAACUCCGAGUGUAGAGGUGAAAUUCGUAGAUAUUCGGAAGAACACCAGUGGCGAAGGCGACUCACUGGCCCAUUACUGACGCUGAGGCUCGAAAGCGUGGGGAGCAAACAGGAUUAGAUACCCCUGUAGUCCCUGUCUCUUAUAC